UUUCCGUAGGUGAACCUGCGGAAGGAUCAUUACUGAGUGAGGGCCCCUCGGGGUCCAACCUCCCACCCGUGUUUAACGAACCUUGUUGCUUCGGCGGGCCCGCCUCACGGCCGCCGGGGGGCAUCUGCCCCCGGGCCCGCGCCCGCUGAAGCCACCUGUGAACGCUGUCUGAAGUAUGCAGUCUGAGACAAUUAUUAAAUUAAUUAAAACUUUCAACAACGGAUCUCUUGGUUCCG
This 236-nucleotide unclassified non-coding RNA is filed under the name plant metagenome. Its description in RNAcentral is "partial contains small subunit ribosomal RNA, internal transcribed spacer 1, and 5.8S ribosomal RNA". The record is from RNAcentral.